GCCUGAAUCCAGGCUGAGUUGUGUGUCCAGAUUCUCAGGAGACAGCAAUUUUAUGCUUUCUUUUUCAGGAGAUUUCAGUCUUAAGGUGAACUUGAUUGCAGGCUUCUGACAACCUUUUCAAGGACACAACCCAUGAGACAGAAGGCUAAAUUUGGAUUUGAUCCAUGGCUGGCCAGUAGCUUUCUGUUGAACACAGUCUGCUGGAGGCAACCCUGCCUCAAAAAGUCCCUACACUAACAGUCAGUGGGAGCUGUGAAAGAAAAAGAAGGGAAACACAGCUCAAGGCCCACUACUUACAGCACUGUCCUGAGCCUCCAUUGCUGACACCAUUCAGGACAGUCUCCUGGACCAAGAGUGCAUGUGAAACAUCCUGGGCUAAUGUGGAAUGGCACGGGCAUCGCAAUGCGUUAUUCAUACCUGUCUUUCUUUUGGGAGAAUAGCUGCUCUCCUUUGCCGUUCCUGGGCUGGCACUGCUCACCAGUCUCUGAGCAAGAAAUCCAAGCCAAACACCACGUCCAGUGGUUCCUGUCUGGAGAGGACAUGGGUCUUCCACAUUCAGCUGUACUGAAGAAGAUUAUAAUAAAAUAAAAAUGAAUACAAGAUUUUGUUGUUAUUAUCUUCAAUAUUUCUGUUUCUCCUGAGGUAAGCAGUAGUAUUGUCUAUCCACUAUAUUUUAUCUUAUUGCUUCAUUGCUCUUAUCUCAGACAGUAUUUAAUCCAAGUUAGGGUCAG
This 731-nucleotide long non-coding RNA is filed under the name Parus major (Great Tit). RNAcentral describes it as "lncRNA (ENSPMJG00000011288.1)". The record is from RNAcentral. Lineage: Eukaryota; Metazoa; Chordata; Aves; Passeriformes; Paridae.